UACGUAGGCAGCAAGCGUUGUUCGGAGUUACUGGGCGUAAAGAGUGCGUAGGCGGUUCUCUAAGUUUGGUGUGAAAUCUCCCGGCUCAACUGGGAGGGUGCGCCGAAGACUGGGAAGCUUGAGUGUGGGAGAGGUAAGCGGAAUUCCUGGUGUAGCGGUGAAAUGCGUAGAUAUCAGGAGGAACACCGGUGGUGUAGACGGCUUACUGGACCACUACUGACGCUGAGGCACGAAAGCGUGGGGAGCAAACAGG
This 253-nucleotide ribosomal RNA is filed under the name uncultured bacterium. Its description in RNAcentral is "partial 16S ribosomal RNA". It matches the Rfam family "Bacterial small subunit ribosomal RNA", at positions 524 to 776 of the family's 1533-position model. The record is from RNAcentral.